This 1506-nucleotide long non-coding RNA is filed under the name Phasianus colchicus (ring-necked pheasant). Its description in RNAcentral is "lncRNA (ENSPCLG00000008163.1)". The record is from RNAcentral. Lineage: Eukaryota; Metazoa; Chordata; Aves; Galliformes; Phasianidae.
GGGGAUUGGUUUCUAAGGGACUAGCUAAAUUACAGGAUUUUAGCACAAAGCUAUCAAUGGUAAAUACUAAGAUAACUGCAUUUGGAAUCAUAUUUUGCUGUUCAUAUGCAGCAGUGCUAUUGUGUGCAUUUGAUGUGAGAUAUUUCUUAAGUUAUGUUUUGAAGUGAAGCUUUCUGGCCUGUGUGGGGUAGUUAGUAUAUGAGUAUUGAUCCGUUUUGUGUGCAUAAACUUGAAUGUGCUUUUAAACACAGACGUUUUCCCAAACGUGCUUGCCUUAUGAGGCAUAAAUACACUUUAUAUAAUCAUGUAAAUCCAUGUAAUAAGCAACUAGCUUGAAUGUCAAGAUUGUAAAUACAUAAUGCUGAUUUGUAAUUAGCGUAGGGUGUAAUUAGUGUAAAGACUCUGGUCUGUAAGAUAUUAAAGCAAAACAUUUGUGUUUUUUAUGAUUAGCCAUUUCGUAAAUCAUCUUCAGUGUUAGAGAAGCCUCUGAGAGGGUCUUUGCUCCCUUUGAGUUUCCAACACGUCUCAGCAGCGGGGGUGGGGGGGAAGACAAGUAAUUUACACUGCUGACAUCUUAUUCCUGUCAGUUAGAACUUGUGAACACGUUAAUGGUUGUGUACGCAGGACUGUUCUGUCCUAGAUCCUAGGCUGAAAGGUCUGUGCAGCUCUUGCCAUUUACUGUAAUGUGAUUCAGAGACAAUGACUUCUCAGUUCUUUCCUUUCAGAGCUGCAAAGCUCAUUUUAAUCAGCGCCUUUUUUUUUUUUCUUUGCCAAAAGACAUGGGGAGCUUGUGUGAGAGGGAAGGGAAUAAUCAGGGAGUCUGCAGUCCUUGAAGCCUACCCAGGGAGGAGAGGAAGGGAUGAUGGUAACAAGUUCGUGCCAGAUGAGGUGAUGGGGUUCCUCUCUUCAGUUGAUGUUCAGUUUGCUAGCACUUUGAGCACGUACCUCAGGAUCUGUAUGAAGGAUGACAGCCCAUGCUCACCUAUUCACAAGAUACUGAAGCUUCAUCUUAUUCCUUAGAGAUUCCUUGCUCUCCUCUAAGAUGAGAAUCUACUGAGUCUCUCCACAGGCCUCUCCUGUCUCACGUGCAGUCCAGGUCAGGUGUGCUCUGUGAAAAACUUCAAGAGAAACAAUUGAUGGCAGUAGAUGGAUCACUUCCUCUGCUUCCUUCUCUAUUGUAUUCUUCCAAACUUCCACCAUCUUGAGAAUUGUGAACUUUCACGAUAUAUCAGUAAAAUAGUGAGCACAACCUAAGGAGCAUGAAAAACCCACCUCUAAAUACUAGAAAAGACAAAAUUACUGAGAGGUAACUCAUUAGUGACUACUCAAGUUGGUAUUGUAAAUAGCGCUUUUGAUGGAUGAUGGUAUAGUAAAAGCAUUGCAUUCUGGUACUGAAUACAUCUGUUGCUCGAACAUCUGUGUCCUUGGACAGAUCCAACUUUAGAAAUGAAUUAUAACAACUUUCUUCAGGCAAUAAAUUUAUUAUAGACGAUCUGAGUGUAUACA